Molecule: non-coding RNA, 48 nt
Filed under: unclassified sequences
Description: DUF3800-XI RNA
Rfam family: DUF3800-XI RNA
About the family: Actinobacteria, Firmicutes, Proteobacteria, Spirochaetes (1 example). Nearby to DUF3800
Source: Rfam by way of RNAcentral
UGGGCUGGUCGAAAGACCCGGGUCCAUCAGCGGAUGGGGGGGUUCUGC